Molecule: transfer RNA, 202 nt
Filed under: Microcaldota archaeon
Lineage: Archaea; Nanobdellati; Microcaldota
Description: tRNA-Leu
Source: RNAcentral
GCAGGGAUGCCCGAGCCUGGUCAAUUGAGGAACCGAUCCGACCGCAAGCUCGCGGCGUUGGUUUUUCUGGCUUGAAGGACAGGACUUAAGAUCCUGCGCGAUUAGUUCGCUUCGGGGGUUCAAUCCCGUCUUUUCUUUUGUAAAAGAAAAGAACGGGCCAGAAAAGAAAACAUCUUGACUUGAACAAAUCCCCCUCCCUGCA